CGUGACUUCUACUGAGAUCAGACGAUAUGAACUUAUAGCCAUUUGAGUAAGAUAUCAGAAACAAUUUGUAAUGGUCCAGGUUGAUCAGGAUGUGGACCUAACAAUGACAAAUGAAGUUGCCCCAGGACUGUGGAAUACACUUCCUUAGAGCUACUCCUUUUCCUGUUGGCUUUUAAGAAACAACUAAAGACACAUCCCUUCAGCCAAGAUUUUUAGUCGGUGUUUUUAUGGAUAUUUUAAACCAGAUGUUAUAUGUUUUAACUGUUAAACUAUUAGGUUGUUUUAUGCUGUACGCCACCUAGAGACUUUGGUAGUGGGUGGUAUACAAAUUUAUUAAAUGAAUGAAUAAAUACAUACAUAUAAUAAGGAGGCAUUACAAAGAAAAGUUGUUAAUGAUGCCUAUCAACUUUUCAGAGACUCGCUAAAGCCCAAGAAUCUCUUGGAAGUAGUCCAGAUACUUUAACCUGAACUGGCACCUGGUGGACAGGGCUAGGUUGGUGGUGGCUGAUAGGAUUACAGCCAGCAGAUUUUGCAAGUAGCCUCUCCAGGCCAAGCUCUAGGCUUCAGAGGACUCUCUGCAAACUGGAUUCCAUGACUCCCUCCAACCUUGCUCUAUAUUGCUCUGCAUACAAAGGCUAUGAGCACAGGGGACGUCUCAGGGUUGCCAUAUUCUGGCUCUCCAAAUCCAGGCACCCUAAUUUGCAUUAUAUAAAAUGACUUGCGGAUAAUUUGCAUGUUAUGCAAAUUAGCAGGCACACUUUCCAGUUGACUUGUAUUUGAUCUGAAUAUCUACCAGCAAUAUUUGGGGAAGAUAUCUUUGCCUGACCAUUUUCCUUGACAUAUUAACAGCAGCACUAGAACCAAAAAAAAGGGGUGGGUGGGAAUGCACAGCUUUCUCAUUAAGGUUGCAAUUCUGUACACACUUACUUGAGAGAUCUGAUUGAAACCAACCUGCUUACUUCUAAGUAGGCAUGCACAGAAUGUAAAGCCAAAGUCCUUAAACAUUACAAUACACAGCCUGGCAGGCAAGCAGUGGUAUACAAAAAAAGCAAGCAUCCUCACAACAGCCAGAUAAGAGAUUCCCUGCUGAUAAAAAACAAAGGCAACAUUUCUUGUGGGGUUACUGUACUUGUGAACCUCCCAGCUAGCCUCCUGUGCUUUACCUGCCUUAAUCCAAGUCCAGUGGUUGAGCAGAAUAGUGACUGCACAUUUUGCUCCAUAACUCCACUUCUACAAGGGCUAGGGCUUAGCUUUAAAAAGAAAAGAAAUUUGAACUCUGGGCGGGCUAAGCAAUCCAUGUGGCAUGCUAAAAUAUGAGUACUACCCAGAAAAUCAGGGGAGAUGGCAUUGCUACUUGAAGAUCAGCAGUGGGCCUUUUUGAGAGCCCUAGCAGCUGUCCAACAAUACUGACUUUGAUCCUUUCUGACCCCGUCUCUUGAACAUGCAAAUUAUACAUGGUAAUUGCUCACUCACUUUUAAAAACAUGUAUCUGCUUCAUUCAUAUAAAGUAUUGUGUGUAAUUUAAAGAGUCAAAUAUCCUGGGUUGGAGGUGCUAAGUCUUUUUCAGUCUAUUGUCUGUCUUCUUUGCAGCCAGCCCCCAUCCCACCCCCCCUUCACUUAACUGGGCUCACUUCUGCUGUGAGAUCCUGGCUGAGAGAAAACAAAACAAAACAUAAGAGUUCAAAUAGAGAUUCAUAUAGGUCAGAGACUUCAGUCUUGAUGUCAUCUGGAGGCUCCUCUCAGCCUGAAGCAUUGAUAGUCCUCUAAGAGGGUUUCAGUACCUCCUCAUCCCUGUCUGAGGAAAUCGGAGUCCUGAGAUUGGGGUGUGUGUGUGUCACUUUUAGUGUUGCAGCACACUUGAUUUUGCUUCUGCCUGUUUAAGCUUAUGUUACAAAUGUUAACCUGGCCCCACUUCUUUGCACUGGGAUAGGGCUAGACAUGUGCAUAUACUGUAUAAUCAACUGAAAAUGUAAUUCUAAACAAAAAUCCUGUCUGAAAAAAGUUGCCUUUUUGAAAAGUAAAAAUCAAGAAAUAGGGUUGGGCAGAUUAAGAUGUGUGUAUUGUCAGAGGAGUUAGUUCGUGAAUAAUUUGGUAAACUGUUUUGCUCUCAACUGGAUUCUUAAAGCAUUGUGCUCAUUCACGCUUUCUGGAAAUUAAUGGAAAUUGCAUUAAAUAUAAAUGUUGGAGAAGUGCCUCUCACAUUUUCAUUCUGACCAUUCUUUAUUUUUAG
This is a long non-coding RNA of Hemicordylus capensis (graceful crag lizard), 2230 nucleotides long. RefSeq lists it as uncharacterized. The record is from RefSeq and is a predicted model, not a curated record. Lineage: Eukaryota; Metazoa; Chordata; Lepidosauria; Squamata; Cordylidae. The transcript has 3 exons.